RNAcentral lists this ribosomal RNA (429 nucleotides) under Bacteroidota bacterium. Its description in RNAcentral is "Bacteroidetes bacterium partial 16S ribosomal RNA". It matches the Rfam family "Bacterial small subunit ribosomal RNA", at positions 355 to 776 of the family's 1533-position model. The record is from RNAcentral. Lineage: Bacteria; Pseudomonadati; Bacteroidota.
UAGGGAAUCUUCGGCAAUGGGGGGAACCCUGACCGAGCAACGCCGCGUGAGUGAAGAAGGUUUUCGGAUCGUUAAGAUCUGUUGUUAAGGAAGAACGAGUGUGAGAAUGGAAAGUUCAUGCUGUGACGGUACUUAACCAGAAAGGGACGGCUAACUACGUGCCAGCAGCCGCGGUCAUACGUAGGUCCCGAGCGCUGUCCGGAUUUAUUGGGCGUAAAGCGAGCGCAGGCGGUUAGAAAAGUCUGAAGUGAAAGGCGGUGGCUCAACCAUUGUAGGCUUUGGAAACUGUUUAACAUGAGUGCAGAAGGGGAGAGUGGAAUUCCAUGUGUAGCGGUGAAAUGCGUAGAUAUAUAGAGGAACACCGGUGGCGAAAGCGGCUCUCUGGUCUGUAACUGACGCUGAAGCUCGAAAGCGUGAGGAGCGAACAGG